Molecule: ribosomal RNA, 495 nt
Filed under: uncultured bacterium
Lineage: Bacteria
Description: partial 16S ribosomal RNA
Rfam family: Bacterial small subunit ribosomal RNA
Source: RNAcentral
GACGAACGCUGGCGGCGUGCCUAAUACAUGCAAGUAGAACGCUGAAGGAGGAGCUUGCUUCUCUGGAUGAGUUGCGAACGGGUGAGUAACGCGUAGGUAACCUGCCUGGUAGUGGGGGAUAACUAUUGGAAACGAUAGCUAAUACCGCAUAAUAGCAGUUGAUGCAUGAUAACUGUUUGAAAGGUGCAAUUGCACCGCUACCAGAUGGACCUGCGUUGUAUUAGCUAGUUGGUGGGGUAACGGCUCACCAAGGCGACGAUACAUAGCCGACCUGAGAGGGUGAUCGGCCACACUGGGACUGAGACACGGCCCAGACUCCUACGGGAGGCAGCAGUAGGGAAUCUUCGGCAAUGGACGGAAGUCUGACCGAGCAACGCCGCGUGAGUGAAGAAGGUUUUCGGAUCGUAAAGCUCUGUUGUAAGAGAAGAACGAGUGUGAGAGUGGAAAGUUCACACUGUGACGGUAUCUUACCAGAAAGGGACGGCUAACUACGUG